UCAAAGGGUGUUGUACAUCAAUCUAUCAGAGCCAAUCAUACACAAGUGGAUAUUCCACUAGAUCAUUAUCUACUCUAUAUGUCACACACGAGAUAGGAGAGAGCUCAAUCAAGAGUCUAUAAAUCCAUACGAUAAUCAACAUAACAAUCAAUAGACAUGUAGAGUAAAAGCAUGUAUAGAUGUGAACUUAGGGGAAGUUGUCCUACUCAAACAAUAUAUGGAAUAGAUUAAGCAGAAAUAAAAAUCAAGUAAAAUACAACUUUACCGACAUCGAAAUGGAACAGCCCACCUCACCAAGUACCUAAAUCCUUGACUUGAACGAUGAUUCUAGAA
RNAcentral lists this long non-coding RNA (333 nucleotides) under Ananas comosus (pineapple). RNAcentral's name for it is "long non-coding RNA (ACOM_LNC023175)". Lineage: Eukaryota; Viridiplantae; Streptophyta; Magnoliopsida; Poales; Bromeliaceae. The record is from RNAcentral.